CAGCCGCCACCGGGAAUACGUAGGGUGCGAGCGUUAAUCGGAAUUACUGGGCGUAAAGCGUGCGCAGGCGGUUUUGUAAGACAGGCGUGAAAUCCCCGGGCUCAACCUGGGAAUGGCGCUUGUGACUGCAAAGCUAGAGUGCGGCAGAGGGGGAUGGAAUUCCGCGUGUAGCAGUGAAAUGCGUAGAUAUGCGGAGGAACACCGAUGGCGAAGGCAAUCCCCUGGGCCUGCACUGACGCUCAUGCACGAAAGCGUGGGGAGCAAACAGGAUUAGAUACCCGCGUAGUCCCUGUCUCUUAUU
RNAcentral lists this ribosomal RNA (301 nucleotides) under uncultured bacterium. RNAcentral describes it as "partial 16S ribosomal RNA". It matches the Rfam family "Bacterial small subunit ribosomal RNA", at positions 509 to 808 of the family's 1533-position model. The record is from RNAcentral.